Non-coding RNA from Cinara cedri, 244 nucleotides. The record is from the annotation of a GenBank genome assembly. Lineage: Eukaryota; Metazoa; Arthropoda; Insecta; Hemiptera; Aphididae.
AAAAUUUUCACUUGCGAUGGUGGUGUAAUGGUCAGCAUAGUUGCCUUCCAAGCAGUUGAUCCGGGUUCGAUUCCCGGCCAUCGCAGUUAAUUUUUGCAGUUUUUUUUGUUUUUUAACAACCUUUCUUAAAUUUUUUUUAAAAACUGCAUUUAAAACUUAAUUUUGAUUUAUUUCGUAAUCACAAGAAAGCAUCGUUAACAUUAUAUAAUACUAAUUAUAAAUAACUUUAAUUUAGUUGACUACG